AUUGUACGCUGGCGGCAGGCCUAACACAUGCAAGUCGAACGGUAACAGGAAACAGCUUGCUGUUUCGCUGACGAGUGGCGGACGGGUGAGUAAUGUCUGGGAAACUGCCUGAUGGAGGGGGAUAACUACUGGAAACGGUAGCUAAUACCGCAUAACGUCGCAAGACCAAAGAGGGGGACCCUCGGGCCUCUUGCCAUCGGAUGUGCCCAGAUGGGAUUAGCUUGUUGGUGGGGUAACGGCUCACCAAGGCGACGAUCCCUAGCUGGUCUGAGAGGAUGACCAGCCACACUGGAACUGAGACACGGUCCAGACUCCUACGGGAGGCAGCAGUGGGGAAUAUUGCACAAUGGGCGCAAGCCUGAUGCAGCCAUGCCGCGUGUAUGAAGAAGGCCUUCGGGUUGUAAAGUACUUUCAGCGGGGAGGAAGGGAGUAAAGUUAAUACCUUUGCUCAUUGACGUUACCCGCAGAAGAAGCACCGGCUAACUCCGU
This 489-nucleotide ribosomal RNA is filed under the name uncultured bacterium. RNAcentral's name for it is "partial 16S ribosomal RNA". It matches the Rfam family "Bacterial small subunit ribosomal RNA", at positions 30 to 506 of the family's 1533-position model. The record is from RNAcentral.